Molecule: long non-coding RNA, 1735 nt
Filed under: Gigantopelta aegis
Lineage: Eukaryota; Metazoa; Mollusca; Gastropoda; Neomphalida; Peltospiridae
Description: uncharacterized LOC121367732
Source: RNAcentral
AUGGAAAUACGUAGCGGGUUUCAUUUCUAUGACUCAAAAGGACCAUAUGUUUGACAUCCAAUAGCCGAUGAUUAAUAAAUCAAUGUGCUCUAGUGGUGUCGUUAAACAAAACAAACUGGGCUUUUUUUCUAUUUAACGUGUGCAAUAUUCACCGUCUGCUGUUGUGUAGUGUUCAUACUGACAGUGAUCAAGAAUGAGAUCACGUAUGAAUAAAUACGUUAUCCAUGUUUUCAAAUAAAGUGUGCAAUGUUUAGUGUAGCUUUGCAGCACUUACAUGAAAGCAAACGUAGGAACAACUUGUUAAUCAUUAUUCGGACUGGGUUUCAUAAUUCCUCGGAGGAAACUUGAUACAUUUUUUUUUUUCAUUAGCGGCAAGGGGAAUCUUUUAUAUAAAUUUUCCCACUGACAGGACAAAACAUGCAUUGCUUGAUACAUCAGUUGUGUGCCACUGGCUGGGACAGGAAACCAAUGCCAUGAUGGAUCUUCUAAAGGGCUUUCAUCAUGUCACCUCGGGUUGGCAUUUAACAACUGAGCUAGUGUAGAUUCCUGUAAUAAUGUAAUGGCAGAUCCACAACAGAACAUAUAUUUGGCACAAAAAGGUUCACGACCAGGGCCCCGUUCCACGAAGCGAUCUUAGGCUAAGAUCGCUUAGUGGAACGGGGCCCAGAACCCAAUUUCACAAAACAUAGUAAGCCUAGCUAGUUUUGCAUGUAAACGAAAAUCUACGACAAAACCACAGUUCGUAUUACUAUUGUAGUACAACGAAUAUAGUUAUAAAAAUAUACAUAAUUUAUUUCAUUUCGUCCUUAAAAUGCACCAUCUUCCGUAAUGAUGACAUUUUCUGCGUGAAAUAGAUGCCAAACAUGUGAAUGUUUGCCCAGUAUAACUGCUAGUCGCAGAUGUAAAUUUACGAUGUUUUGUGAAAUUGGCUCCAGUUUUAUUUGACAGUGAGGGCAUGUUUUGCGGGCAUCUGAAAAUUGCAAGAGCGAUACUUUCGUUCGUGCAAUCCAUUUUCGUUCACAUAUUGAAUUUAGGACAUAUUUAUACAUGGUCAUGAUGGGUUACCUAAAAACAAAAUGGGUUACCUGAAUUUGUUUUUGUGUAAUCCAUAAAUGGUUUCUGCAGAUUUUUAAUUCUAAGAGGCCUGUGUUUGCAGGAAUUUAUCCAAGAUGGGGGCUGGACUAGACGGGUGGGUGAGGUGGGGGGUGGAGAGACACCCGAUACCCUGGAAAAUACCCACCCCCUGCACUCACACACUCUGUGGUAUGUUGACAGGGUUUUGAUUUACAGGGUUCCAAUCGCUAGGUCAUAAUAUCCACACGUAUACAUGCCUGUGUGACAGGAUUUUGAUAGUUUUUUUCAUAAUUUCAGAAAAAAUAUUAUUAAUACUGUUAUUUUAACUCUUAUUGUUUCAGUUUAAAACCACAAGGUGUACACUUAAGCAAAGAAAGCUAUUUUGUUGUUAAUCUUGCUAACCGGGACUAUAUUUUACUUUUUCUCCUCUUUUCUUUUUUACUUUUUUUUCUUUUUGACAAAUGGGAGUGUAACUCACUAGUAGUUAUUUAAAAAAUACUAUUAAUUUUUAAAAUCUGUGUAAUUGAAAAUGUUGGCCAUUGUUAAAUGUUACACGCAACAUUUUAUAUGAUUCUUCAGAUUUCAGUUUGUGCAUCUUGUUGAAAUCAAAAUUUGAAAUAAUUCAAUCUGUUUUAUUGAAUAAACAUGGUAUUUAUAAAUA